GACGAACGCUGGCGGCGUGCUUAACACAUGCAAGUCGAACGGUGAAGCGCCUUCCUUUUUGGUGGGUGUGGAUGAGUGGCGAACGGGUGAGUAACACGUGAGUAACCUGCCCCCUUCUUCUGGAUAACCGCAUGAAAGUGUGGCUAAUACGGGAUAUUCUGGGUCUGUCGCAUGAUGGGUCUGGGAAAGAUAUUGUUUCGGUGGGGGAUGGGCUCGCGGCCUAUCAGCUUGUUGGUGGGGUGAUGGCCUACCAAGGCGGUGACGGGUAGCCGGCCUGAGAGGGUGGACGGUCACACUGGGACUGAGACACGGCCCAGACUCCUACGGGAGGCAGCAGUGGGGAAUAUUGCACAAUGGGCGCAAGCCUGAUGCAGCGACGCCGCGGGAGGGAUGGAGGCCUUCGGGUUGUGAACCUCUUUCGCCAGUGAAGCAGGCCUGCCUAGUUUGUGGGUGGGUUGACGGUAGCUGGAGAAGAAGCGCCGGCUAACUACGUG
Molecule: ribosomal RNA, 494 nt
Filed under: uncultured bacterium
Lineage: Bacteria
Description: partial 16S ribosomal RNA
Rfam family: Bacterial small subunit ribosomal RNA
Source: RNAcentral